Long non-coding RNA from Venturia canescens, 5149 nucleotides. RefSeq lists it as uncharacterized. The transcript is spliced from 12 exons. Lineage: Eukaryota; Metazoa; Arthropoda; Insecta; Hymenoptera; Ichneumonidae. The record is from RefSeq and is a predicted model, not a curated record.
AAACAUUAGUAGAAUUAAAAGUAUUGGUAGGCACACUGGAUUGGCCAAAAAUGGCGUUUUCGCUAUUUUCGCUCGGCUGAAAAUCACUAGCCGACUUGUUUCCUUCGUUGUUGUAGUUGCACGUCAUGUUGACGUUUGAGAACUUUUGAUCCGUGAAAUCCAGCUCCAGGGUAAACUCCGUAUGAGAGUCGACAUGCCGAAUAUGAUCAAUACUCCAAUGGAUAACAUGGUUCGGAGUAAGCGUGGCUAUCAAAUCCAAGCCCCGAUGCCCGUGCAACAACCUGUCGUUUCCUCUUCAGGAUUCUACAGCGUUCCAUCAAACCAUCAAGUCGCUUACAACCAAGGAAAUUUCUCGAGGAGUACACGCAUAGGAAUAAAUCAAUCACCAUCUUGUAAUAAUGGCAAUAGUUCUCAAAUUCUGGUUAUGAAAAUUCCCAAAUUACUACACCUAGCAGUAUGACCCAUAAGAACUCGUACGGUUUACUACAAGACAGGCACAUCGCUGAACAACCUGCUUAUGUCCAGCUGGGAAAUAAUUUAAGAUACACCAGAGCUAGUAACAACUCUACUACCAAUCUUACGCCUUUGUCCCAGUAUUCCAAUGACUCUUAUUGACAAUCAACUUUGAAUCAGAAUUAUUAUACUGCAGGAUACAAUGAUCAGUCGCAAAGCCAAGAUUCGACAACUGCGAGUAAUAUUAAAGAACGUCGUAACGAUACAACUUAUCAGCAAGUAUCCAGCGGGAAUCCAACGACAUCAAUGUCACCUCCAACAGAAGUCAUGACAAAACCCAUUGAAAUAGAACCUGAAGCACCCCUGGUGCUUGAAAUGCAUUCCAUUGAGAAAAUUUCCAAAGAAGAACCGAUUACGAGUCCGAAGUUACCAGAAACUAAUGACAAACGAAAAGAAAGUCUCGAAAGCUCUCAUCACUUCAAUAAUAAGCUUGAGAAUCUUCAGAUCGUGUGGGACACAUGAUACACUGAUGUUCAACCCAAACGUUAUCCCCUCUGCAAUCCUAUCACACUGCAAAAAUUUAACAUGGACAUUGAAAAUAAUGAGAAAUUUGUGGAUAGUUUGACAGUCAAAACACUCAGUGGUUCGACCAGUUUAGAUAUCAAAUAUGGAGCGAAAUAACCGACAACGAGUAACAGAAAACGAAGACGAACUUUCAACGGAUAAUGAGGGAAAGGCAAGUAGAGACAGUUCGUUGGAACACUCAUGUUUCGACGCGUUCAAACGGAAUGCAGAAAUUUUUACACGAAGCUCCAAAAACGUAGAUAAUUUUUCUCAGACAACCGCGAGUCCUUCGCCAGACGACGAGAUUUAUUCUUCUCGAAAGUCAGUUCCACGUAGAUCGAAAAAAAAGUCAAAAACCCGUAGAACAAGUGACACGUAAUCGGAUUUUGAAAAACGAAAAGAUCGUAAAAAAUCUUGCACCCACGAAAUAUCCCCAGAAUUGAAUCAUUUGCGAAUCUCUCCAGAAGUUCCGGAAUUAGAUUUUUACAAUAGAAACGACGAAAUUUUCACCCAAAGCUUCAAAAAUCAGGAUGAGGAUUCGAGAGCUGAAUCCCCGCUGUCGGAUAAAGAAACGCUCAGAGUUAGAAGUUCAAUUAUUUCGUUAUCGAGCCCGGAACCAAAUGUGAAUCGAACAAAGAAAAUUCACAGGAGAAUAACGAAAGUUCUGGCCAUUUACAGAAGAGUGAGGAAAAUUUUUUCGACCGAUUUUCACCCAUUCAUUUCGAGGAAUUGCAAUAGUCCUGAGCCUUGCACCAGUCGUAAGAGGUAUUCGCCAUGUUUUCUAUAGUUCCUCGAACUCUGUGAGGAAAUUGAUGUCACGCUCCAUUUCAAUGCCCUGUGACAAUGUCACAGGAACUCACAUCACCAAGAAAUUAUGAUGAAAUAGAUACACCGGAAUUGAAGCGAGAACUAGAUAAAUAUGGCAUAAAACCGCAGAAGAGAAAGAGAGCCAGACAGUUAUUGAAGCAUAUCUACAAUGAGUUACAUCAAAAAGUUCCAGCUACAAGCCCGGGAAAAAAUGCACUGGAUAUGCAACAGUGUAGAAGAAGGCGAUGACGAAGAGCCUCCGCCUAAAAGAACUGGAAGGAUAAGCGCUCAUAAUCUAAGUGAUUCGGAAUCCGAUCGCAAUAUUGCAUUGUCGUAAGAGAGUUUAUUGAGUUCGGGCUUGUCCGUUAUACCGAAAGAAGUAGAAUUUCCGAAACCAAAUCGAUCUCCGAAAGCAGUAGCUGAACCAAUCAGCAUUAAAGAAGCUUUCGUCGAGCUGAUGAAUGCCGAUAACAAAUUGCACGCUUAAGUGCUGACUUAUGAUCCGUUGCUAUUCGAAGUAUUGUAUUCGACGCUCAAGGCACAAGGCUUAAAGUGCAAACAAAAUCAUUUAAAGGAUUUCUUGAACGAAGAAUGGAAAAUAUCAGACUUCAAGAUUCAUUGCUUUCUCGAUUUGAUCUUCGAUUCAUGAUGUUGGGUGUCAUAGAUACCGAUCAAGAUCAGCGAUCGAAUAUUGAACAUUAAAUUCAUACGAAAGUAUAUUCACGUCAUUUGAUGCAUGAAACCAAAGCUCACGGAAGAAACGAGCAAAACAAUUGCUGAAUUCAAACAUUUGCUACCCAAUACUUAGAUCGGAAGAUAUGGCUGAAUCAGAUAUUACGAAGACACAACAGACAGAUAACAGCACGUACUUUGAAAACCCCUAUAAAGUUGUCAAAAAAUGUGAGCGAGCUCGUUCAGUUGGUGUAUUUCAAACGCGUAUUUAAGAAGGAAAAGUGUGGCGAAGGACAAAGACGUGAUAGUUAGGAUGGCGUGGUCAGUGAAGAAUAAGAAGAUGAAUCGAGAAAGCCGAAACACUCGAGGAGAAAGAAAACUGUACGCAUUCUACAGUCGCUACUGCGGCUCUCAUGGAAAGUCCAACUAAUACUGUACAAUCGCAAGCACCAGAAUGAAGAUCGAAGAUUGAACACCGAUGACCAUUUCUACGGAUAGAUCCAAAGUGUGAUGAGAGAAAGCCGAAAAGAGUGGGUGUAUACUUCCAAGCCUGUCCCCAAAUCAAAGUUGUCAACAGUAGGUUUCAAGAUGGAGGAAAAAAAGGGUUCCUGUUGAAGAAUGGCUCCAAGUUUCGAGUUAUUAAAAUAGGUAAAAUGGCUGUGGAUCUUCAAGAAACAUGUGGAUUCGAUGCAAUAAUGAAUUUAUUGCAAUUUGGCGCUAUUAAUGAUCCUAAUUACUAUUCUUUCGUCAAAUCGUCGGGUAAUAAAGCAUUGCAGUUCUUGUCAAAAUUUAUUGAGAUCGGAACAAAUACCACAAUACUUCAACAGCGCAUCACUCUUUUGAGCGAGUUUUAUCCAAUGUUAAAAAAGCCCGGAGCUUCAUCAAUUGAAGUAUUCAAGAUGAACGUCAACGACUCGAUUACGACCAUAUGGAAACAUCUUUUUUGUUCUGAACCGGCUGAGCCCAGUGCAACCAAAUCACGCGUAUGCAGCAGUCCAUUGUGCAUACAAUCUUUACCGAUAAAUAUUCCAUUCUUUGAAGUAAACACCUGGAGAAUCAACUCCAAAGGCAUUGGAGCGCUCCAAGAGGCAGUCAUAUUCCAUUAAUAUUACUACAACGUCAAAUGCCGGCAAAAAGAUUGUCAGGGAAGCGCUACUGAGACAAUUAGCCCAAAUUCUCAAAUUUUUAUUGAUUUGGACACUAGGACGCACAUCAAUAAGCACAAGAUGGUUUAAUGUCAGUUAGCAGAUAUCCCAGUAACUCUUCGGUUUGUCGAGAAAUACCACUACCAAUUGAUCGGUGUUAUCGAAUAUAGUCAUCAACACUUUAUCUCUUAUGGCCGAAAAUUGUCUGGGUAGUGGGUUGAAUUGGACGACAUGAAAACUGAAAUCAUCGGAUGCCGCUCGACUAAAAGAAUUACGCCAAUUGGCGCUGUUUAUGUUGCAUAGUGAAAACUAGAGUUUUUUACAUCGCUACAACAUUACAAUCAUGAUUCUUUGAGGAUCGUCAUAAAGGGUUUAAGUUCACCAACUAUUUCAUUAUCCAGACGGAUCGUCGAUAUUCUCGUGAUUGGAACACUCACCAUUCUAUUCUGAUUGUGUAUUUUUCUCAGCGUUGCUAAUGUUUUCACCGAAUCUGUGAUCCGAAGAUUAGUACUUCACGUUUAACCUGUUAAAUAAUUUUUAUGUGAAUUUUCGUACGAGAAAUCCAUGUACUACGUGAAAUGGUAUUCACAUGAAGCAAUGAGCGUGAUUCAUUCAAAAUUAUUAUAAUUUUGACCCUCCGUAAAACAUUUUUUUCUCAAAUUUUACUUUGCAAAUAGCAAAUGAAUAAUUUCUGUUUAAAACAAUUUUAGGAAAAAUAACACGCUAAAGUAAUCAGAAAAACAUGUUUUUGCAAGCCAAAAUUUACACGCAAAUAUAAUUUUUAAGUCAGAGUUGAAUUUUGAUAUGAAAAGAAAUUUGAAUAGAAGAAUUUACAAAUUAUAAAUCACUUGAAAAGCAUUUAUUUUAACACUAGUUCGAUUUAGUUUACCGUACUUAUGGAUAAUCAAUUUCUUUCAUGAUCUCGUCGAGUCGAAUAGCACCUUCAAACGGAAUUUUGAUAUUCAUUUUUCCGACAUAACUCAUUAUUUUAGCCGGCUCGAAUCCAGCAGUGUUAUGGUCGAAACAAAAUAGUUAAAGAAAAUUCUAAAGGUUUAAAAAAAUACAAAAUCUUAUGGAUUCAUUGAGAUUUUUAGUUUGCGUUGAAAAUCUCAGAUCAUUCAACAGGAGAGAUGUAGCGAGUCGUACUCGAACGCGUUCAAUACCACGAAUGCUUCCAAACUUCCAAUUCAUUUUCUGACAAAUACAAAGUAAUUAAAUGUUGCCUCUUAGUGUACACCAUUAAAAGUUCGGGUUGAAGAUUAGGAAAUUUCUUUGGAAAGCAAAGAUACUGAUAUAAAGUUACGAAAAAUGAAGUCGAACAUCGAGAAGCUUGUCCGUCCCAAGAAUUUUGUUUCUUCAGUUUCCAAUUCGAAGAUGAAUCGUUAAAAAUAGAAACAUCACCGCGAAAAGUUAUUCGAAAUACGGUAAAAUACCAGCGAGAUGUUCAUUUUCUAUAAAAGUUGUCAAGGCUUUAUUUGUAAUAAUAAAAUAUAAAAUGUUAUAAAUCA